RNAcentral lists this long non-coding RNA (644 nucleotides) under Mus musculus (house mouse). RNAcentral describes it as "predicted gene, 30015". The record is from RNAcentral. Lineage: Eukaryota; Metazoa; Chordata; Mammalia; Rodentia; Muridae.
GGGCAGGAGAGGGGGACUGGCUGAGAAGGGCUGAGGCACUUUCUUGCCUUCUCUGCAGCUUCACACAGCACACAGAGAUGGGACCAUCAGACAGCGACAGCAUCAGAAAGGAUGGAGUUAAACUUUGGAAAUAAUGCUCAACUGUAGGAGUUCAGACGCUGAGGACCAAGAACCUUCUGUGAUGGGACAGCUAAAGACCAAGAGGGCUGUUGUGGCUGACAGGAUCGCGUCCAUUGUCUUGUGCUACCCUGGAAAUAGAAGUGAGGACUGUACGGAGCAGAGAAAGCGCUGAAGGAGGAGCAUCCUGGGAGAACUAUGCUGUUGAUGUGGGCACGGCCAUAUCAAGGACCUCAGAGCCUCUGGUCUGUGGAGGAACAGCAAAGCCUUCCCCUUGGCACAGUGAGUUGAGAGGUAUGAUGGAACCUUCCUCAGGGGACUGCCUGCCAGUGUUGACAGUGCGUGUAGAACAUGCGCGGCACAGCAUUCUCCCCACUGAAUGUUUAUAGGCUGAAGGCUGUGCCCCCAUAUCGAUGGAGACUAGCUAAACCUGUCUCCUAGAUCCAGCCCUAUACCACAAACCCUGCCUCCUAGUUUAUCUGUAUGUAAUAACCCCGCCUCCUCCUUCAGCUGUGCGCAAUAACCCC